This 59-nucleotide transfer RNA is filed under the name Salmonella enterica subsp. enterica serovar Anatum str. USDA 100. Its description in RNAcentral is "tRNA-OTHER". It matches the Rfam family "tRNA", at positions 7 to 64 of the family's 71-position model. From Rfam's summary of the family: Transfer RNA (tRNA) molecules are approximately 80 nucleotides in length. Their secondary structure includes four short double-helical elements and three loops (D, anti-codon, and T loops). Further hydrogen bonds mediate the characteristic L-shaped molecular structure. tRNAs have two regions of fundamental functional importance: the anti-codon, which is responsible for specific mRNA codon recognition, and the 3' end, to which the tRNAs corresponding amino acid is attached (by aminoacyl-tRNA synthetases). tRNAs cope with the degeneracy of the genetic code in two manners: having more than one tRNA (with a specific anti-codon) for a particular amino acid; and 'wobble' base-pairing, i.e. permitting non-standard base-pairing at the 3rd anti-codon position. The record is from RNAcentral. Lineage: Bacteria; Pseudomonadati; Pseudomonadota; Gammaproteobacteria; Enterobacterales; Enterobacteriaceae.
AUCGCCAAGCGGUAAGGCACCGGUUUUUGAUACCGGCAUUCCCUGGUUCGAAUCCAGGU